AGAGCAUACAUGGCACAGCAGCAGCAGCCUCAUCCUGCUGCCCUCUCUGGCAGCACCUUCACCUCAAUCAGGGCAUAACAACCAACAGGUGCUUCAAGUUUUGCUCACUGGGGCUGAGGAUCUCCUGGGAUAGCCCUGGGACAGACCUGGGCAGAAUGUCCCUCCCUGAGUCUUUAAUUUUGGUUUACCAGCUACUUUUGUGCUUCUGCUCUCCUCUGAGCUUGUGGAAAUGGCUUUUUUGUGGGUCAUUGCUCCUGUGAUGGGCUUGGAAGAAGAUGGUUGAGAGUAUUCCACUUGCUAUUGUAUCUCUGUUCUUCUUUUUAAGCGUGCAGAUGAGCUUUUAGCACAUAAAAUCUUCUAUCGCAUUUAUCUGUGGCUUUUGGAAUUUUUACCAUGCCACUGUGGGAGCUUAUGACAGAAGCACAUAAAAGGAAAAGUACUAAAAUCUCCUUUGCUGUAUCCAUGCAAGAUCCUGCACCCUACUGCAAACUGUCAAGGUUGUUUCAACUAACACUGCUCAAUGAAAGAGUCUCAGAGUAACCUAAGUGCAAGCUGAUGUCACAGUUGCUAAGAAAUUCACCCCAACGUCUCUUCUCAAGGGGAACUGAGAGCUGGGGUGGCAGGUCUGGGCUGAAGUACUGUGCAGCAGGCAGCUGCUCGUUAUCUGUCCUCUUGCAAAGAAAAUGCAAGAGAUGCGGGUGUCUUUGA
RNAcentral lists this long non-coding RNA (708 nucleotides) under Numida meleagris (helmeted guineafowl). RNAcentral's name for it is "lncRNA (ENSNMEG00000021635.1)". The record is from RNAcentral. Lineage: Eukaryota; Metazoa; Chordata; Aves; Galliformes; Numididae.